UUUUCACUCGUCGCAUUAAGCCUCGCCAUCACACGUAUAGCCAAAUCCAUUAAAUUAACUAACAAAAACAUGGUUAAUAACUUAAUUCAAACUGUAAACUAUUCUUUUUAAAAAAUAAAAAAUGAAGAUAAUAUUUUUCUCAUCUGCUCUUAGUGUAAACUAUUCUAUCAAAAUUACAGAAUGGAGAUAAUAUUUUUCAUUCACUGCUCUAAGUGUAAACAAUUCUAACAGAAUAACAAAAUGGAAAUGAUAUUUUCCUUCACUACUCCAACUGUAAACUAUUCCAUUAAACUUACAGAAUGGAGAUAAUAUUUUUUCUUCACUGCUUCUAGUGUAAAUUAUUCUAAUAAAACUUCAAUACGUAAUGCCUUAUUAUUCACAAAUCCAAAGCCUAAACUACAAACAAAAACACCCAACUUCAGAUCUAUACAUACAGAUUACAUAAACACAUAAACAAAAAAUCAAAAGGGUAUGCAUAAUUUCUGAAAAUAAUUGGUAUACACAAAGAGAAGUCAGGUAAGCUCUUAAAUAGAGCCACCACCACGACAUAGUCACUACUGCACCCAAACACUGCGACCACGACCAAUAGAGCCGUCGUCGCUGUCGUCAUCGCCACCAGAGCCAACGAACCACAUAUCAGAAAAUCAUCACACUCCCACAACCACUACGAGCACCACCGCAUCUAUACAACCAUCUCCAAAAUUACCACCACCACAACAGGGAGUCGCCGCUUUCAACAACGAUGGCAUCGUCGGCGUGGCAAAGUUCUCCAUGCUGUCGAAGAUGGCGGGGUGGACGGAUUAGUGGGUAGAGCGAGAAGUUAGAGAGAAGGAAGAGAGUGAGGAUGAGGGUAAAAAUGAAUAUGAUUUUGGGAUGGAACUUACUUGAGGUACA
This 894-nucleotide long non-coding RNA is filed under the name Olea europaea (common olive). RNAcentral's name for it is "long non-coding RNA (OEUR_LNC004734)". The record is from RNAcentral. Lineage: Eukaryota; Viridiplantae; Streptophyta; Magnoliopsida; Lamiales; Oleaceae.